GACGUAGGGCGCGAGCGUUGUCCGGAAUUAUUGGGCGUAAAGAGCUCGUAGGCGGUUUGUCGCGUCUGCUGUGAAAACCUAAGGCUCAACCUUGGGCUUGCAGUGGGUACGGGCAGACUAGAGUGCGGUAGGGGUGACUGGAAUUCCUGGUGUAGCGGUGGAAUGCGCAGAUAUCAGGAGGAACACCGAUGGCGAGGGCAGGUCACUGGGCCGCAACUGACGCUGGAGGAGC
This 232-nucleotide ribosomal RNA is filed under the name uncultured bacterium. Its description in RNAcentral is "partial 16S ribosomal RNA". It matches the Rfam family "Bacterial small subunit ribosomal RNA", at positions 524 to 754 of the family's 1533-position model. The record is from RNAcentral.